Molecule: long non-coding RNA, 4761 nt
Organism: Ruditapes philippinarum (Manila clam)
Lineage: Eukaryota; Metazoa; Mollusca; Bivalvia; Venerida; Veneridae
Exons: 3
Source: RefSeq, a predicted model, not a curated record
AUGGUAUAUGAGGUCAGGCAUUGUUUUCUUGACCCCCCAAAUUUCAACGUCAACAUUCUUUAAAUAGCCAUUAAAAUUAUAUUACCAUUUAUGGUGGUUGAAAUAAAUUUGUUUAUUUAUUUUUAGAAGAAACAUGCAUUUAUUGUUGAUAAAAAAAGUGACAACCACUGAACAAAGAAAAUACUAAAUUAAGCAUUUUCAAGGUCGUCCGGGUUUGGUGGUUGUCCGGUUUUGGUGGUCCCCAACCAGUAGCUUAAACAUUUAUGAACUGUAAAUUCUUCCCUCACACACUUUCAUCAAUAACAAUUUCAAUUAGAAAAGGUAUAUAAAUUAUGACAUGAAAACGUAAAACAAUGAAAGGUAUGAACACAUAAAACAAAGAUAAUUCAACAUAGAGCAACAAAACUAGUUCCACUGAGGAAUACCGUACCGCCGGUAAGGCCCCCAUGGUUACACUUUUAAAUGGAUUCGUUUCGAUUUUCAUUCAUAAACGGUUAUGAUAUUUUUUACCGUUUAUUCGAGAUGACCAUAUUGUCUUACAAAUUAUCUUAAUAAUUUCCUGUAAUCAUGGAUUUUAUCUAUACUUAUUGGUUUAUCAAAGUAAAAAAUGGAAAAUGGGUGUUUACAACCCGGACCACACACCAUCACCGUGCAAUAAUCGCUUGUGACAUAAUUCAUUUUUGUUGAAGUUGAUUUUUCUUUGAUCUUUUAAAUAACGAAAUGCGGAUACAAUGCAGAAAAUGUGUGCCGCCUAAAUCGUGAUGAGCACUGAACAUUAUUUAUUAUAGAAAGUAAGUCAUCAUUUGGCAAAUUACAUGGUAUAGUAUAGUGCAUAGAAGUAUCACCGUAAACAGUAUCGAUUCGGUUCUUAGCAAUCAUGUAAAAAUUGUAAACGUGGGAGCCUUUACCGCCGGAUAUUGCUCGAUAUUACGAGGACUUUCAUCCCAUUUCAAGACUAUGAACAAAGGUAAAUUCAAGGUAAACGUUCAAUCUGACAACAAUAAAAUUUCAGAUGACAGUGCAUUUUGAGAAUAAAUAAACAUGUCAGUUUACCGAGUAUUGCUUUGGAGUUGCUCGCCGGUGUCACUAGUAUGCUUUUUAAUGUAACGAGUAUUGGUUAUUAAUAUCAAGUAAAUGUGAGAAGUAAUCACAGAGUAUUUACCACAUUUAACCUUAAAUAUUUCUUAUUGUCACAAUGUGUAUACUUAUUGACAUAUGUGCAGAAUAUGCAGAUUUUGGAGGUACUGUACUGAAUAAUACAUACCCAGCAAACAUGCAUAUAUGGGACCCAUAUGGGCUAUAUCUAGGCAAGCUAAUGGGUAUACCCAUAUUGGACCUAUAUGGAUCCAAUAUUGGCAAGUCCAUUUGGGUACGCCUAUAUAUUAGACCCAUAUGGGUACCAUAUUCCAGCACUUUAAGGAAAAACAAUUUUUCUUUUAUUUAUUUCUUUAGAACUCGUUUACUUUGAGCUAUAGUGUGACCACCUUGGCAUAAAUUGCUAUUAUCCUAUAUAAAAUUGUAGCAUUAUUUUAAACAUUUAUACAAGCCAUGAGGGACCCAUAAGGGUCCCAUUUGGGCAACCCGAUAAAUAUAAGCAUGCCUGAGCAGGUGCGAGAAAUUAAUUUGUUAAGUUUUUAUAUUGGUUUUAAUUUUUAUUAUUUAAAUAUAAAAAUGUGUUUUUAGACUAUAAAUUCAGAAAUAAUUUAUAAAAAUCAGUUUUUGAUGAAAAAAUUUAUUUCGAGCAUGUGCAGACGUGCUUUCCGCUGCCGCUUAAAAUCAAAUUGUGUAUUGAAAUGUUAAAUUGUACACGAAAAAAAUAUUUCUUUUCGAUUCCAAGCAUUUAACCACGAUUUCGUAUAACGACUUUUCAUAUUAUAUCCUUACAUGUUUAUUGUGUGUGUAGGUAAGCUGUAAACGCUGUUUAGUUUUUGGUUUUGCCUUUGUCAUGUAAUUUCCCAAUAGUCGUUUAAUUUGCGACAUUUUCUAGAAUUUACGCCCUGACUCUUAGGCACUUUAGGUGACCUAUGCAUGUGUAUAGUUGUUAUUGUUGAAUUUCUUAACUGUGACGGAGUCUACACUAACAUUUUAAAAAUAUUGUUUCUAUCUAGACUAAAUUUUAAGAGAUCUCUUUUUAAAGGGACACCAUCAUUUGAAAUCCAGUGUCCCCCCCUAGCCUUAGAAGUCCCUUCCAUUUUGUACCAACAUUUCAUUCAUAAGCAUUUAAAAAUAUUAAAUACAAAUACUUAUUUUUACAAAUUCAAGUAUUUUUUCCAAGUACCAACCAAGCCCUCUAGCUGUUGCACAGGCAUGAGUAUCGGACCUGAGAAGAAAAAAUAUGACCUGAUAGAUAAUUAAACCUGUGUUCAUCUUAAAAAAUUCGUAAACCAAAAAAAAUGUAAAUUAUGACCCCCUUUAAAAACAUACUAUAAGUUAAGAGAAGGCUGGAAACUCUAGAUUCGAGCCUACGAGCAAGGGAUUCACUACCCAGGCCGUUGUGAAAACAAUUGUCCAGACAAUUAAAAAUCUUUUAUCAUUAUUUCACAUUUGUAUUAAGCUUCCAAAUGAGACCAACUCCAAGUCUCUAGCCCUUCCUGUUCAUUAAAUAAUCCCAUCAGGAAACGAGCGCAUUCGUGCUAAAAAUCCUUGGUAGAAAAAAUUGCGGCACAACAAUUCGGUACGUAAACAUAGACUAAUACAUGUUUGUCAGCCGUGCACAGGUCAUAAUCAUAUUGUCACUUGGUGCAAUAACUCGCUUAAUGUAUAUGUAUUUUUUAACUACUUAUUAAUGUAUUUUCAUUUUAUUGUCAAUAGGCCAUCAAAAAGGCUGUAUGAAUCGGAUAGUGACACUGAUGAGAAUGAGACAGACACCGAGAGUAGGCCAUCACAAGUUAUUGACAAAGCAACAACUCCAAACAGGCACGAAGCCUGCUUUCACCUCCGCCUUGCUUAUCUGGACAGGCAUUGCGAGAGGCCAGCAGUGAUGUGCAAAGUGCUUCUCUAAUACAAGGUGCUUCUGAUAUGCCCUCCCGUGGGCAGAUUAUUGGGCCCAUUAAGUAUAAACUUCGGAGCUGUAAAUAUAUUCAUUACAGUACAUACUUAUUAAAUGUUCUAUCCUCAAAACAAGCCAAUAAAUGUUGUAACAAGCUGGAUUGAGCGACACAGCCAAAAAUGGAAAGUUUCACCUUAUGACGCCCCUAGUUAAAAAAAAAAUUCAAAAGAAAUUGAUGAUUACUUGUGUUAGUCUUUAUCAUGAAGUGAAUUAAUGUUCGCCUAUUCUUGUCUGACCCCACAACUGUUAUCCAAAGUUACUGUCCUUGGAAUAGUCAAAAAUGUUUAUUUUCACCCCAUGACAUGCCUAGCUCAAAAUAUUUUAAGUUUAAUUCAUGAUUUCUUAUCAUUUUCACAUUUUGUGACCUUGCACACUCAACAAUCCUUUUGAGAUUUUAGCGUUAAUUACUGUUAAAGCCAAGGAAAAAUUUAAAAUACUGGAUUUUUUUCAUAUGUAAUUCACAAAGCUCUAAAAGUGUAAAGCCUAGAAUUAUGAAUCCUUUUUGAAGCUGCUGUUACACAGAUUGUCUGAGUCUUGUAGACAAUGCGGGAGGAGAAUCGUGAAAUUAAGAGGAUGAUGUAGCAAUUGUUGUCAAGGUCAGCAGCAGAUGACCAACCGCUGCAGCUUCCUGAAGAUAUCUCAUUCCCUUUUCGUUCUCCUUAGCAGAUGGAAACAUUCGAUGAGCUUCUUGGAGAUCAGACAAAGCUGUCAUCUGUGGUGCGGUUCCUCUCAAUGUUUGGUGGGGCAGUUGUGCGGGAAACUGUUGACCGCUAGAUGAUAGAAACCAUGUCAAAUGAACUGGCAAGAAUGUUCAAUAUGAAGGGGGCUGAAAGGGAAGAAAACAUUUGGGGGCCUCUAGAUACUGAAUGUAUUGUAUAGAUGUGUCCAAAGGAACUUGCCGACAAAGACUGCGACGAGGAAGGAUAUUGAAAUAAAGGUUUCAAAGUGGCUGGCUGGGGCGUGGGACCGCGAUGGGGGAAGGAAAGCAAGAAACAAAGUGUCCGAGACCUUACCUGAAGCAAAUGAAGGAAGUGACUAGACAUGUUUUUAUUUUAAAAAAAUGCAAAUCUAUAGAGGAUAUUUGUUUGUUAGUGUGUAAGAUGACAUUUUAUAUCAUCAAAUGAGCUGUAAAAACAUUAUUCUCACGAGUGAGAACACUGUUAUUUAAAAGUCCCUCAAUGAUAUAAAAUUACAUCUUACACAACAAACAAUAAAGUGUCUUUUUAUUUUAUGCUAAUGAAAUUUCCUCAAUAUUAACUUUAAUAAUUAUUAAAUCUGUUUUCCCCACUGUUAACAUCAAUUUUAGUUGAAUUUAAGUCCAAUUAUUCAUAAAUACAGGAGUCUUAGGCUUAACAAAAAAGUUUGACAAUCAACGUUGAAUAGCAAUGAUUUUAUUUAUUUUAUUAAAAAUAUAUGAAUAAUCGCUUGUUUUAAUAAUAAAAACAACCAAUUCUAGUAGAAAAAGUCACACCAUCCCACCUUAUUUCUGUUACUCAGGCAAAUUUAUGUAUGACCUGGCUUUGUGAAAUGUAAGUGGCGGCCAUUUUUAAAAGUUUUGUAUUUUAAGGAAAAUUAAUUUUGUUUUAUUCAGAGGAAUAUUAUUUGGAUAGGUUAGUCUUGAAACAGUCCUGAGAAUGUCAGAAUUGUAAGCAAAAAUGAUAUUAAGGUACCACAUGGGGAAAAUCUUUAAAAAGUAGUCUCGUCAUUGAAAA